UAUGGCUCAGGAUGAACGCUAGCUACAGGCUUAACACAUGCAAGUCGAGGGGCAGCAUUGGAGUAGCAAUACUUCAGAUGGCGACCGGCGCACGGGUGAGUAACACGUAUCCAACCUGCCGCUUACUCGGGGAUAGCCUUUCGAAAGAAAGAUUAAUACCCGAUGGUAUAAAGAGUUCGCAUGUUCUCUUUAUUAAAGAAUUUCGGUAAGCGAUGGGGAUGCGUUCCAUUAGAUAGUUGGCGGGGUAACGGCCCACCAAGUCUACGAUGGAUAGGGGUUCUGAGAGGAAGGUCCCCCACAUUGGAACUGAGACACGGUCCAAACUCCUACGGGAGGCAGCAGUGAGGAAUAUUGGUCAAUGGACGAGGGUCUGAACCAGCCAAGUAGCGUGAAGGAUGACUGCCCUAUGGGUUGUAAACUUCUUUUAUAAGGGAAUAAAGUGAGGGACGUGUCCCUUUUUGUAUGUACCUUAUGAAUAAGGAUCGGCUAACUCCGUGCCAGCAGCAGC
Molecule: ribosomal RNA, 508 nt
Filed under: uncultured bacterium
Lineage: Bacteria
Description: bacterial SSU rRNA
Rfam family: Bacterial small subunit ribosomal RNA
Source: RNAcentral